UAGGGAAUCUUCGGCAAUGGACGAAAGUCUGACCGAGCAACGCCGCGUGAGUGAAGAAGGUUUUCGGAUCGUAAAACUCUGUUGUUAGAGAAGAACAAGGACGUUAGUAACUGAACGUCCCCUGACGGUAUCUAACCAGAAAGCCACGGCUAAUUACGUGCCAGCAGCCGCGGUAAUACGUAGGUGGCAAGCGUUGUCCGGAUUUAUUGGGCGUAAAGCGAGCGCAGGCGGUUUCUUAAGUCUGAUGUGAAAGCCCCCGGCUCAACCGGGGAGGGUCAGUGGAAACUGGGAGACUUGAGUGCAGAAGAGGAGAGUGGAAUUCCAUGUGUAGCGGUGAAAUGCGUAGAUAUAUGGAGGAACACCAGUGGCGAAGGCGGCUCUCUGGUCUGUAACUGACGCUGAGGCUCGAAGGCGUGGGGAGCAAACAGG
RNAcentral lists this ribosomal RNA (429 nucleotides) under Gemmatimonadota bacterium. RNAcentral describes it as "Gemmatimonadetes bacterium partial 16S ribosomal RNA". It matches the Rfam family "Bacterial small subunit ribosomal RNA", at positions 355 to 776 of the family's 1533-position model. Lineage: Bacteria; Pseudomonadati; Gemmatimonadota. The record is from RNAcentral.